This is a long non-coding RNA of Anolis sagrei ordinatus, 1273 nucleotides long. RefSeq lists it as uncharacterized. Lineage: Eukaryota; Metazoa; Chordata; Lepidosauria; Squamata; Anolidae. The record is from RefSeq and is a predicted model, not a curated record.
UGACUUAACACAUUUCAGAACAGCUGCUGCUGUUUCAGAGCUAUGCUGGGAUUCUCCUGAACAAUAUCCCUCUAUGCAUUGACUCACAGAAGAAUCUGGGCACUAACAGGGACACUACUGACCUAGAUGUUUCAUUGAGCUGUUUCAGUAAAAGGAAGUAUCCUGCUGAGAAGCUUCAUCUCAUUGCUGUUGCUCUUUGCUCACCAUAGAGCUCACAGUGACCACCUGGCUGUUAUGGUUCCAUGUGCUGAUGGAAAACUGGGAUCAUACCAUGCACUUCUAACAAAGUCUAGUACUGAAUGUUGUUUCCAUAGUAUUGCAGCAAUAAGAACUGUGUGGAGAAGUCAAGUCAUGCUAGGGAAAUCCUUUCAUAGCUGAAAAGCAACUGGAGAUCAUCUAGAGGACUAAGGGAACAGAGAUCACAUUCAAGACAUCUGGGGAAAAAGACAGCGAUCAAAAUGUAUAUAAUUCCUAGCAAAUACAGGUGCUUUGGAGAAGCAAAAAGAUAAACUGGCAGUACCAGGCAUGUAGCCGGGGGGGGGGAGGGGGGGCUUGAGGGGCUUCAGUCCACCCCCUCGAAAUGCUCAGGGUUGUCCACGAGAAGGCCUUACUGGUACAUUAUUUAAACUGUUAUGUUUAUUCAUAUCAUGAUCUGAUCACCAUGCUCAAUAUAUCCCAUAUGCACGGUGCUAUUGGGAUAAUGAUACAAAAGGUUUGCUAGGGUAGAUCCUCAGCCCCCCCCCUUUGAAUCAAACUCAGCACCCCCCAAAUCAAAAUGCUGGCUACGGGCCUGGGCAGUACAUAACUUCUUUUAUGCUUUGAUAACUAUCUUGGACUACUUUGGACAUUUGAAUGUCACUGAAGACCAAUUGGAAAUGACAGUUAAUUCCAAAGAGGUCUGCUAGACUGCUGUCUAGAUACUGGCAUCAGGGCAAAUAUUGCCAGUGUUUAGCAAGGCCCAUAGAUAUAAGAUUUAUUUACUACAUGCUUUGGGGACCUGCUUACUUAAGAGUGAUGUCAGUCCAAGACCCACCCACCCCCUUCAACAAAAUCUUCCUUUGGACCAUGGCGGGAAAUUUGGACCUUGCUAACUGGGAGCCCAGAGUCCCAAUGGCUUGCCGGAGGAAGACUUGCAGCAGCAGCCAGCUCCAGAUGAUACAUUGCAAAAAACUAAAGACUGAAAUGUACAAUGCAUGUCAGCUUAUUUGAGCAGCUUACCACUGGGUGUCAUCCUUUCUGUCCUGAUUGAAUAAAUUUCCUUGGUGGCUUCUGC